GCUUAGUUGGUAAAGCACAAAGCUCUUAACCUUGUGGACGUGGGUUCAAGCCCAU
RNAcentral lists this transfer RNA (55 nucleotides) under Triticum aestivum (bread wheat). It matches the Rfam family "tRNA", at positions 10 to 63 of the family's 71-position model. Rfam says of the family: Transfer RNA (tRNA) molecules are approximately 80 nucleotides in length. Lineage: Eukaryota; Viridiplantae; Streptophyta; Magnoliopsida; Poales; Poaceae. The record is from Rfam by way of RNAcentral.